Molecule: ribosomal RNA, 139 nt
Filed under: Tychonema bourrellyi B0820
Lineage: Bacteria; Bacillati; Cyanobacteriota; Cyanophyceae; Oscillatoriales; Microcoleaceae
Description: partial 23S ribosomal RNA
Rfam family: Bacterial large subunit ribosomal RNA
Source: RNAcentral
UGGGAAGCCCACCUCAAGAUGAGUCUUCUCAUGGAGUUAUCCAGUAAGGUCACGGGCAGAACACCCGUUGAUAGGCGUUAAGUGGAAGUCCUGAGAGGGAUGAAGCUGAGGCGUACUAACAGACCGAGGGCUUGACCUC